Molecule: microRNA precursor, 128 nt
Filed under: Pelobates cultripes (western spadefoot toad)
Lineage: Eukaryota; Metazoa; Chordata; Amphibia; Anura; Pelobatidae
Source: RNAcentral
AAGUGAAAGGAGAAAGAGGAUGGAGAGGGUAGCCUUAACUUCUAAAUGUUCACAAAAAUAUCUAUAUAUUUUGUGAACAUUUAGAAGUUAAGGUUACCCUCUCCAUCCUCUUUCUCCUUUCAUUUAAU